This 269-nucleotide ribosomal RNA is filed under the name uncultured prokaryote. Its description in RNAcentral is "partial 16S ribosomal RNA". It matches the Rfam family "Bacterial small subunit ribosomal RNA", at positions 524 to 792 of the family's 1533-position model. The record is from RNAcentral.
UACGGAGGGUGCGAGCGUUAAUCGGAAUUACUGGGCGUAAAGCGCGCGUAGGCGGUCUGAUCAGCCGGUUGUGAAAGCCCCGGGCUCAACCUGGGAACGGCAUCCGGAACUGUCGGGCUAGAGUGCAGGAGAGGAAGGUAGAAUUCCCGGUGUAGCGGCGAAAUGCGUAGAGAUCGGGAGGAAUACCAGUGGCGAAGGCGGGUGACUGGACUGCAACUGACGCUGAGGCGCGAAAGUGUGGGGAGCAAACAGGAUUAGAUACCCCUGUA